UAUCUGUGCUGUGUCCACCACGAGAGAUGAAAACCCGGUUUUUAGCAGUGUGAGCCUUCAAACUUACCGCUGAUGGUGGUCCCGUUGGAGGGAUUAAAGGUAUUUUUAUGUUUGUUGAUUUUCGUGCAACACCCUUUGCCGCCCAAGUAACAGUCUAGAUGGAAAACGGAUAGUCAACAUCACCCAUCGUCAACUAUUGGGCUACUCUAAUCAAAAAGUGGGAUUGACUGCACAUUAUAACGCGCCCACGGCUGAAAGGGAAAACAUGUCCAGUGGUUGCCGAUUGCGAGUUAAGCCGCCUAACCAGUAGGCCAUACCACGCUUCCAAUUUUUUUAAAUAUAGUCAACUAUGUAAAACAUACUCAUUUUUUUCUGUUUUUCAUUACUAUAUUUUGUAUUUCAUCAAAUUAUUAAGUACAUAAAAAUUCUAUGCACGUGCUAAUUCUUGCCAUAGACUAACUGGAAACAAAAUUUUUGUUAAAAUAUUGCCAAAAGGUUAAUGCGAAUACUGCACGAAAUCUAUUAAACACUGCCCACGCAGAACAAUAAAGUUAUUUAUUUAAUUUCAGGAUGUAAGAUUAAACGGGCAUUCCUCAAUAACGCAUUUCAUAAUUUAAUAAACCAGCACAGGUGUAAAACUAGAGGGGCAUUCAGUAGAGCGCAUACCUACGCCACGCAGCGUUGAUCAUAUUCGGCUCUCAAAAAAUAUGAAAAUGUGUCCGUAUGUCUAUCGUUAUCAACGGACGCGGAUAAUUUUUGGCAGAACAAUGAGAAAUAAUAUUCUAUAUAAGUCCACCGAGUUAUAAAGCAAAAGUAGUGUGAAAAAUCGGUCCCCCUGUUAACAGAUCUUUUGGAUUUUCGCAACUUGGACCUCCAAAAACUAAUCACUUCUAAGUUGGGUCAUAGUCCAAAUGUAUAUCAAAUUUCGUCCAAAUCCAUUUUCGAGAAAUCUUGCUGACAAAAACUCAAACACACACACAGAGAGGUGAAAAGAUAACCUCCAUCCGCCUAUGGUGGUGGAGAUAAGUAUAAUAUUUCAUUCAGUUUUUGUAGGGAUAUUUUAGCAUAUGUUGUGAUAGUUAGUUACACUGAUAAUUAAUUUUCUUCUUUAUUUCUUAAAAGUAACGAAUAUUUUGAUGGAAAUGUUAGGGACAGAAUUUGUUGGGAGCUUCUAAUUAGAUGUGUUUUUGUUUUUAGUAGAGAGAAAGCAAGAAAAUAUUGAAAUAGACCAUGUUUAUGAUAAUGUGUUAAUGCAAAAUUUACUUAUGGCUGUUAAACAACGUAUUUUGUUAAUAUUUCAAGAAAUGAAAUAAAAUAAUUUUCAGAUCUUA
Molecule: long non-coding RNA, 1331 nt
Organism: Limulus polyphemus (Atlantic horseshoe crab)
Lineage: Eukaryota; Metazoa; Arthropoda; Merostomata; Xiphosura; Limulidae
Exons: 2
Source: RefSeq, a predicted model, not a curated record